CCCCACCCCAUAGACCCAAGGAUGAAGGGGACCCCUGGUUGUCCCUCCCAUCCCAUAAGGAUGAAGGGGACAUCCAAGGGGUCCCCACUUGUCCCCAUCCUUGUCCUAUAGGUUUGGGGACCCCCAGGGGUCUCUCCCACCCUCACCCCAUAGACCCAAGGAUGAAGGGGACCCCAGCUGUCCCUCUUGUCCCCAUCCCACAGGUUUUGGGGACCCCCAGGGGUCUCUCCCACCCCCUCCCCAUAGACCCAAGGAUGAAGGGGACCCCAGCUGUCCCUCUUGUCCCCAUCCCAUGGGUUUUGGGGACAACGUGGAC
Tympanuchus pallidicinctus (lesser prairie-chicken) is the source of this 316-nucleotide long non-coding RNA. RefSeq lists it as uncharacterized. NCBI's taxonomy places the organism in Eukaryota, Metazoa, Chordata, Aves, Galliformes, Phasianidae. The record is from RefSeq and is a predicted model, not a curated record. The transcript is spliced from 3 exons.